Molecule: long non-coding RNA, 5459 nt
Filed under: Sinocyclocheilus grahami
Lineage: Eukaryota; Metazoa; Chordata; Actinopteri; Cypriniformes; Cyprinidae
Description: lncRNA (ENSSGRG00000027122.1)
Source: RNAcentral
CAAGUAUGCUUGACACCACAGGAACUACUGAUGCAAAAACAAAUUUGGCUUCCAAAACCACCCCUCCAACAUCCUCAACUUUAGCACCAGUGUCAACUACUGAUCUAGCAGCAACAACCAUGCCUGACACCACACAAACUACUGAUGCAACAACAACUUUGGCUUCCACAAUCACUCCUCCAGCAUCCUCAACUGUAGCACAAUCGUUGACAACUGAUGCAGCAACCACAACUAUUUCUGACAGAAAAACAACUAUUGAUGCAAUAACAAUUUUGGAUUCCACAACCAUGCCAUCAACAUUCUCAGCCGCCGCAUCAAUGUUGACAUCUGAUGCAGCAACCAAAACGAUGCCUGACACUACUACAGCUGCUGUUGCAACAACAUCUUUGAUUACCACACCGACCUUUUCAACAUACUCAACUGUGGCAACAAGGUCAACAACAUCUGAUGUAGCAACCACAAGUAUGUCUGACACAACAACACCUACUGAUACAAUAACAACUUUGGCUUCCACAACCACCCUUCCAACAUCCUCAACUAUAGCUCCAGCGUCAACUACUGAUGCAGCAACCACAACUGUGCCAGACACCACAACAACUAUUGAUGUAACAACUCUGGCUUCCACAAGCACCCCUCCAACAUUCUCAACUGUAGCACCAGCAUCAGUAACUGAUGCAGCAACAACAACUAUGCCUGACACCACAAAAACUACUGAUGCAAAAACAAUUUUGACUUCUACAACCAAGCCUCCAACAUCCUCAACUGAUGCAGUAAAAACAACUAUGCCUGGCACCACAAAACCUACUCAUGCAACAACAACUUUGGCUUCCACAACCACUCCUCCAGCAUCCUCAACUGUAGCACAAACGUUGACAACUAAUGCAGCAACAACAACUAUGCCUGACACCACAAAACCUACUGAUGCAAAAACAAUUUUGGCUUCAACAACCACCACUCCAACAUCCUCAACUGUAGCACAAACAUUGACAACUCAUGCAACAACCACAACUAUGUCUGACAGCACAACAACUAUCGAUGCAACAACAACUAUGGCUUCCACAACCACCCCUCCAACAUUCUCAACUGCAGUACCAACGUCAACAACUGUAACACCAGUUUCAACAACUGAUGCAGCAAUCACAACUAUGUCUGACACCACAACAACUAUUGAUGCAAUAACAAUUUUGGAUUCCACAACAAUAUCAUCAACAUUGUCAGCUGCAGCAAAGAUGUUGACAUCUGAUGCAGCAACCAAAAUGAUGCAUGACACCACCACAGCUGCUGAUGCAAUAACAUCUUUGGCUUCCACAACCAACCACCCAGCAUCCUCAACUGUAGCACCAACAUCAGCAACCACAACUGUGCCAGAGACUGCAACAACUAUUGAUGCAACAACAACUAUAGCUUCAACAACCAUCCUUCCAACAUCCUCAACUACAGUACCAACACCAACAACUGUAGCACCAGUGUCAACAACUGAUGAUGCAACAUCCAUUAUGCCUAACACCACAAAAACUACUGAUGCUACAACAACUUUGGCUCCUACAACCACUCCUCCAGAAUCCUUAGCAGUAGCAAAAACAUUGAAAACUGAUGCAGCAACCAUAACUAUGUCUGACAGCACAACAACUAUUGAUGCAACAACCAGUAUGGCUUCCACAACCACCCCUCCAACGUCAAUAACUCAUGCAACAACCACAACUAUGCCUGAUACCACAACAACUAUUUAUGCAACAACAACUUUGGCUUCCACAUCAACUCCUCCAGCAUCCUCAACUGUAGCACAAACGUUGACAACUGAUGUAACAAAAACAAAUAUGCCUGACACCACAAAAACUACUGAUGCAAAAACAAAUUUGGCUUCUACAACCAACCCUCCAACAUCCUCAAUUGUAGCACCAGCAUCAGCAACUAAUGCAGUAACAACAACUAUUCCUGACACCACAAAAACUACUGAUGCAACAACUUUGGCUUCUACAACCACUCCUCCAGAAUCCUCAACAGUGGCAAAAACAUUGACAACUGAUGCAGCAACCAUACCUAUGUCUGACAGAACAACAACUAUUGAUGCAACAACUAGUAUGGCUUCCACAGCCAACCCUCCAGCGUCAUCAACUCAUACAACAACCACAACUAUGCCUGACAAAAUAACAACUAUCGGUGCAUCAAAAACAACUAUGGCUGCCACAACCACCCCUCUGGCAUCCUCAUAUAUAGCACCUAUGUUGACAUCUGAUGCAGUGACCACAACAAUACAUGACAUUUCACCUAUAACUAUUGGUGGGAAAAUUACAACUUUGAUUCCGAAAAUAACAGAAAAUCAUCCAACAACUUCUGUUAUGUCACAAACCACAACAAUUCCAUCCACAACUAUUGGUGAGACAACUACAUUUUUGGCUCCCACAAUCACAACGCCUCCUCAAAAAGUAGUGGAGAAGUCAACAACAGCGCCAACCACUACAGUUUUUUCAAUAACUACACCUGAAACCACAAAAACACUCUCAACAUCUUCUACUAUUGUUGAGAUAACUACAAACCAUACUAAAACAACUACUGUAGGUAAAACCCCAACAACAAUUACAACUGUAGCUAUUGGCCAGGCAACUACACCUUUGGCUUCUGAAACCACACUGACAACAAAUCAUCCAACAGCCACUACACUGACAGAAACCGCAACACCACUUCCAGUAACAUUGACAACUACUGGUGAGACAGCUGCGACUGUCAUUUCCACAACAUUAAAUCAACCAACAAACACUAAUGUGGGGGAAACAACAACGAUUCUACCUGCAACUAUUGGUGAGGCAACUUUAAAUUUGGCUCCCACAAUCAUGAUGACAACACCAACCAGUAAAAUCCAUUUAACAAUUACAACUAAGCCUGAAACAACAACAGCACUUCCAACUACAGCUAUUGCUGUCACAACUAAACCUUUGGCUUCUGAAACAACAUUGACUACAAAUGAUGCAACAACCACUAUUGUAGCUGACACCACAACACUUCCAAGAGUUACUGGUGAGUCAACUUUGACUACUACAUCACUUUCAACUACAGGACCAACCAAUAGAACUGAUGCAACGACCACAACUAUGCCUUAUCUCACAACAUCUUUGGGUGCAACAACAAAAACUGUGGCUACCACAAGCACCCUUGCAAUGUCCUUAACUGUAGCACUAAUGUCGACAACUAAUGCAACAUCUAUGGCUGACAACACCACAAAUAUUGGUGCAACAACAACAACUCUGGCAACCACUAACACUCUUCCAACAUCCUCAGUUAUAGCACGAACCAUAAGUAUGCAUGACACCACAACUAUUGGUGCAACAACAACAAAUUUGGUUAACACAACCACCCCUCUAACAUCCUCAACUGUAGCACCAUCAUCAACAACUGAUACGGCAACCAUAGCUAUGACUGAAUCUACAACAGUACUUCCAAUAACAACUAUUGGUGCAACAACAACUUUGACUGCCAAAAGUACACCUCCAGCAUUUUUAUCUAUAGUACCAACAUCAAAAAUUGAUGCAGCAGCCACAACUAUGUCUGAAAUAACAACAGUGUUUCUAACAAAUGCUACUAUUGUUGAGACAACUAGAAAUUUGGUUUCCACAAAAACAAACAAUCCUACAACAAUUACUGUGGCUGAAACCACAACAUAUCUUCCAAAUACAGCUACUGGCAAGACAAUAAAAACUUUGGCCACAUCUCCAACAUCCUUAACUAUAGCACAAACCUUGACUGCCACAACCACCCCUUCAACAUCCUCAAAUAUAGCACCAAAAUCAACAACUGAUGCAGCAACCAAAACUUCACCUAAUACAACAACAGUACUUUCAAAAACAACUAUUAGUGCAACAGCAACAACUUUGGCUGCCAAAAGUACCCCUCCAACAUCCUCCUCUGUAGCACCAACAUUGACAACUGAUGUAGCAAUCACAACUAUGCCUGAAACAGAAACAGUACUUCCAAUAAAAACUUUUGGUGCAACAACAAAUUUGGUUACACUAUCUGUUCUAGCACCAACAACGACAUCUGAUGAAACAAACACAACUUUGCCUGAAACAGCAAUGGUAUUUUCAAAAACAACUAUUGUUGCAACAACAACUUUGACUACCACAAGUACCCCUCCAGCAUCCUCUUCUUUCGCACCAACUUUGACUACUGAUGCGGCAGUCACAACUAUUCCUGAAACUUCAGCUGACCUUCCCACAAGGACUAUUAGUGCAACAGCAACAACUUUGGUUAACACAAGCACCCCUGCAACAUCUUCAAUUGUUACACCAAUGUUGACAACUGAUGGAGCAACUACAACUAUUCCUGAAUCUAAAACAUCUAUUGGUGUAACAACAAUAACUUUGGCCAACACAAGCACCACUGCAAUAUCCUCAACUGUAGCACCAACAUUGACACCUGAUGCAGACACCACAUCUAUAGCUGACUCCAUAACAAAUAUUAGUGCAACAACUACAACUUUGUCUACCACAAGCUCCUCUCCAAUAUCCUCAGCUAUAGCACAAACAACUAAUGCAGCAACCACAACUAUAGCUGACACAACAACAUCCAUUGGUGCAAGAACAACAACUUUGGCUACACCUAGCACUCCUUCAACAUCCUCAGCUAUAGCACGAAACACAACUAUACCUGACACCACAACAACCAUUGGUGCAACAACAGCAAAUUUGGUUAACACAAGCACUCCUCCAACAUCCUCAACUGUAGCACAACUGUUGACAGCUGAUUCAGAAUCUACAACUAUGCCUGAAAUCAAUACAAGUAUUGGUGAAAAAGCUACAACUUUGACCCCCACAAGCACCACAACCCCUCCAACUUUGGUGGAGGAGUCAGUGACAACAUCAUCCACGAAUAUUCAUCCAACAAGCACAACAAUGUCUGAGAGGAAAAUUACUACCUUUGGUGCAUUAAAUGCAGAUAUAACUGAUUCAACAACCACACCUAAUUCUAAAAUCACAACAACUAGUAGAGAAACAAUUACAACCAGAAUGUCCUCCUCAACAUUGGUGGAAGAGCCAACGACAGCACAAUCACAAGCUACAUCUAAUUUAAAUACAACAACAUUUCCGGGGUUUACAACAACAGCUUUGACUAAUCCUCAGACAGAAAAUAAUCCUACAAUGCACUUCCCAACAUCUACAGCAGUCCUUGGCAAAACAAGCUUACCUCUAAUGAACAGAACUGGUUCAGCACUGGUUACAAGCAAACUACAGUUCAACUCCGCAUCUCCAGUCCCCAGAGAAACUCAGGUCCUCAGUGUUAUCAACACUCUUCUCAAAUCCAGAGAUUCACAGCCCAACAAAUCAGUUCAAGUGCUGAAUGUCACCUAUAAGAAUAUCUCAGAGACCUCCUAUGCAAUCAUUUUUACAUUUAACCUGAUUGACAUUAGUAUACCAGAGGACCCUGAGCUAAAGAACAACACCUAUCAGCACCUGCAGAAUGUUAUC